GUGGGGAAUAUUGGACAAUGGGCGAAAGCCUGAUCCAGCCAUGCCGCGUGUGUGAAGAAGGUCUUCGGAUUGUAAAGCACUUUAAGUUGGGAGGAAGGGCAGUAAGUUAAUACCUUGCUGUUUUGACGUUACCGACAGAAUAAGCACCGGCUAACUUCGUGCCAGCAGCCGCGGUAAUACGAAGGGUGCAAGCGUUAAUCGGAAUUACUGGGCGUAAAGCGCGCGUAGGUGGUUUUGUAAGUUGGAGGUGAAAUCCCCGGGCUCAACCUGGGAACUGCCUCCAAAACUGCAUGACUAGAGUACGGUAGAGGGUAGUGGAAUUUCCUGUGUAGCGGUGAAAUGCGUAGAUAUAGGAAGGAACACCAGUGGCGAAGGCGUCUACCUGGACUGAUACUGACACUGAGGUGCGAAAGCGUGGGGAGCAAACAGGAUUAGAAACCCCGGUAGUCC
This 450-nucleotide ribosomal RNA is filed under the name uncultured bacterium. Its description in RNAcentral is "partial 16S ribosomal RNA". It matches the Rfam family "Bacterial small subunit ribosomal RNA", at positions 354 to 796 of the family's 1533-position model. The record is from RNAcentral.